This 365-nucleotide ribosomal RNA is filed under the name Sulfitobacter sp. HI0021. RNAcentral's name for it is "bacterial SSU rRNA". It matches the Rfam family "Bacterial small subunit ribosomal RNA", at positions 1153 to 1533 of the family's 1533-position model. The record is from RNAcentral. Lineage: Bacteria; Pseudomonadati; Pseudomonadota; Alphaproteobacteria; Rhodobacterales; Roseobacteraceae.
CCGUGAUAAGCGGGAGGAAGGUGUGGAUGACGUCAAGUCCUCAUGGCCCUUACGGGUUGGGCUACACACGUGCUACAAUGGCAGUGACAAUGGGUUAAUCCCCAAAAGCUGUCUCAGUUCGGAUUGGGGUCUGCAACUCGACCCCAUGAAGUCGGAAUCGCUAGUAAUCGUGGAACAGCAUGCCACGGUGAAUACGUUCCCGGGCCUUGUACACACCGCCCGUCACACCAUGGGAGUUGGUUCUACCCGACGGCCGUGCGCCAACCUUUCGAGGAGGCAGCGGACCACGGUAGGAUCAGCGACUGGGGUGAAGUCGUAACAAGGUAGCCGUAGGGGAACCUGCGGCUGGAUCACCUCCUUUCUAA